This is a long non-coding RNA of Cervus elaphus (red deer), 5729 nucleotides long. RefSeq lists it as uncharacterized. NCBI's taxonomy places the organism in Eukaryota, Metazoa, Chordata, Mammalia, Artiodactyla, Cervidae. The transcript has 2 exons. The record is from RefSeq and is a predicted model, not a curated record.
GCCGCCAGCCUGCCCGCCAGGCCGUCCUGUGUCUGGUCCCCGUGUGUGUCCCUCGGCGCGCCUGUCACUCCAGACACCUGUGUACCUCACUCUGCACAGCCCGCCCUUUGGGGACAGCUGUGGCCAGAUCCGUACAAGGCCUGCUUUCAUCUGUGGGCAGCCUGGAGCGAGGCCCUGUCCUCUUAACCCCUGCUUCUGUUUCCCAUCUGUCGAAAGAGAGUAUUUACUUUGUUAUUAAGAGAAUGAAAUGGGCUAAUGCACGUAACAUGCUCAGAACGGUGCCUGGUCCAUAUCAGAAGUAUCUCCCACUACAGUUAUUUCACAACUACUGUCAUUAUUAUUAAAGGUAUGGUCAUCUUUAUCAUUAUUGGUGUUCUUCCUAAUAAUUCCGAUAACCCAGGAUGAUGAUUUUUGACUAAAGUCAUUAUUGCCAGUGCACUGCAGGAAGAAAAAUGGCCCAGGGCUGAUGAAAUUAGAUGCUUUUCAUGAUUAUGGUAUUGGGGGAAUCAAAUGAUCAAAUGCAACCCCCCAGAUUCAUACAUUAAGAUUUCUUUCAAGCCCUCAUCUGUUUAGAGUGAGGUACACUGGUGUUCGGUGCAUUGGGGUCAGGGAACAGAAUCGUUUGGUCCUCUUCUCUGCCCUUGUCAAGAAUGAUUCUGGUUUACUUUUCACCUCCUUCUUGUUUAGACACUAUUGCCUCCAUCUGGAGAGCAUUGUCAGCCCCGGGGAUGAAGCAAGUUUGAACUGUUGCUUGUGUCAUGGGCUGGGCUCGCAGCCACACAGAUGGGGUCUCUGGCCACGGCCCCGGGCGCUCCGAAUGGAGGAGGUGAUGGGGUCAAGUGAGGUGGGAGCUCUGCCUGCCAGAGGGGAGCUUCCAGCACACCUUCUGGGACAGAUCUGGGCUCUCCCCAGCUCCCACCUGCCUUCUGCUCUGGCGUGGGGGGAGCAUCUCCUGUGAGCCCUCCUCUGGGUCCUGGGCUCGCCGUGGCUCCUCUGCAGCCAGCUCGCCGGCCCAUCAGCCCGGACUGUGCGAGUCCAGGCGUCCAAAGCUAGAAAAUGGAGCCUCUCAGUAAAUCAGUUGACUGGGAACUCAUUUGUUUGGGGGAGUUUGCUGCGAUUAUGCAGCCAAAACCCGCCCCCACCCCCACCCCGCUGGCCCCAUUCUGAUGAUCUUGGCAGCUCUCUUCGAAUGCCACGAUCGUAUUUCAGUGAAUAUAACCCAAGUGUCUCCCUGUUGGCAUCAGCCGUCUUUUUAGGCUGAGAUCUCCAGCAUGCUUUUUUUUCUGUCUAAAGUGUGCAGUAAGCAUCUUGGUUUAAGAAUUCCUUUCUGGUUCAGAAAACCUUUGCCAACAAAUAUUACUGUGGCGGGGAGGUGAGGGGCGGACACAAGGUAAGCCAUACUUGUUUGCUUAUUUGCAUCAUUUUGACUUUUUGUUCUAACUUGGAAGAAAAUUAUCUGCUGAAGCUUUGGGUUUAGCUGUCCUGCAGCCACCCUGGGGGAAAAUGGACGACUUCACCCCAUUUUGUACACUGUGUUCUCGUCAGUUUUGUUUUGGAAAGAUGCUACCUCUUUUUGUUCCAGUCCUUUUAAGGGCUGCUGUCUAACCAGGCCGGGGCUGUGACUAACCAUGGUGUGGACAAGGGCAGGCUUGGCCUCAAACACACAAUCCAGUGACUCAACCGGGCAGCCUAGUCCUGGCGCACAGGGGCUGCAGCGGCUGUGCAAGGCUGCCAUCCCCGCUCUCUGUUGGGAUCCAGGGGGUGGGGGUUCCCUCCCUGGGGGUGGGCUCCCUGCAGGUUCAGCCUGCCUGCCCUGUGCAGGGGACACAGGGGGACAUGUUCACCAGCCUCCAGAACCCUGUUUUCCAGGUGGUUACUUGGCCAGGUUGUGUCAGAAAGGGCUCAGAGGAAUUUCCCGAGAGGCUUUGCUUGGCUGGUUGAUGCCGACUUCAGGGUUCAGUGGGGUGUGGUUCUCCAUGCCCCGCUCAGCUUUGUAGUGCCCUCCUGUUUUCCUGGCCCAACUCAUUGUAAAUAAAUACAACUUUUGCAGGCCCAUCCAGCAAAGAGACACCUAACUGGGCAGCAGCAGGUGUGUUCUGGGGCUCUUUGAAUUGUUUAUUUGACCUCUCAGUUAUUCUCGUGUUUGAAGGUGUGGCCACUGGGUGCUCUCUCCUUAGACUGUCUCGGUGUUUGGGUGAAACCACACAGCUGUUAAUUCCUGUGACUUGGAAGGGUGUCAGGCGCAUUUUCUCACUUGGUUUCAAGCCAGAGGACAGUGUCGAUGGGGGAGAUGGGAGAUGUGACUUAUGGUCCUGUCUCACCAGCCAGACCUACAUGUGCCUUGGAGGGUGUCCCCAAGCUCUGGACUUCAUUGUCCCCAUCUGGAAAUUGUGACUCUAGGAAGUAUAAAGACUUUUUUUUUUUUUUUUAAACAUGAGGAUAUGUUAGGAUUCUUGUGGUUGUAAGAUUUAGAUAUUCAACUCAGACUAACUCAAGCAGAAAAGGCAAUUAUUGUUUGUCUAACUGGGAGGCCCAGGAGGGGCUGGACUCGGGUGCAUAGAUGACCGUCGGCAACUCAGGGCCCACAUCCUGCCAAGCCACCAAGUGGGGAGAGCGCUGCAACUGAAGCCUGGGAGCUGAGGCUCGCUGGUGCUGGCGGGUCUGGCUUGCCCACCCUGCAGAGAGCUGGCCAGCGCUGAUUGGUCAGGCCAGAUGUGCAUCUGCCCCAUGUGACGCCCUCAGAAAGAAACACAUUCAUCAGAAGAAGGAGGUGUGGGUGCCCAGCUCGCAGAAACAGCAGAUAUUUCUCUGUAACAUGGUGCUUCUCACAUCGUCCCUGGACCUGGUGAGCUUGUUGACAGCCUUGGACUACUUCUUGAGUAAAGAGAUGCUGGCCCCAGUUCCCCCUGCAUACCCCGUCACCCCCUCUUCAGCAGUGCACUCUUUACUUUAAAAGGCGGCAGAAAGCAUAUGAAUAAAAAGGCAUGUGGUCACAAGUCACAAGUCUGCCAUGACCUGAUUUGAAUGUGGCAUCGACUUGUUUUUUUUCGACAGAGGCAGCACCCAGAAUUCACACCUCCUCCACUUUUAAGCCCAGACAAGGAAGUUGUGUGAAAUGAAUGUGCAGCCCUGGACCCUUCACUCCCAUCCCCAGUUUGCAGAGAAAUAUGCUCUGCCUCAGGUCCCCAGUGAUGGACAACUCAUUCUGAAACCAAAAAAAAAAAAAAAAAAAAAAAUCACAGGACCUUUUAAUUUUCAGCAAUUGAGUGCUGAAGGAAGACCAGGGUGCCUUGGUCCCUCUGGCCAGAGAGGUGCGCACCCAGAUGCUCGUUCAUGUCCUAUUCUACCCUUCAGUCUGAAAUGACAGUCAUUUCUUUUUGGAUUCAGUUAAAGCAGUAACUUAAUAAGUGGACCUGAGACAAGAGAAUGAAUUGUUCGAAUUUCUUGGUUGAAAAAUAUGGGAAAAUAGGCUUUUCGCCUAUAAGGAAAAGUAGCCAUGAAUUUCAUGACGUGACCUUCAAAGAUUACUCCUCUCUUGAAUCCCUGCAAGGGCAUGGCGGGAAUAGAACAAUAGUGACUUUGAACCUGCCAAGUUAGCUGGGAGUUAAGGAGUCCCAAGUUUGGCUUUUUUUUCCCCCUUCUGAAGUCUCUGCUGAAAUGAAAUUGAACCUUCUGGCCUCAUUUUUGCAAAGCCAGAACCAAUCCCAGGCCUAGCAGGUUUCUGAUGAGGGCGAGCCAGGGACCAGGUAUCAGGAGGUCGAGGUCUCUGCCCCAGAGCUGCUGUGUGACGCUGGGCAAGUCAUUGCGCUUUCUGUGCUUUUUGACCCAUGGAGGGCCUGUGCGAUGUCAGCCCUCAGGGUGUCAGAAAUGAGAACCUUCCGUGCUUCAGCAUUUAGCAGGUGACACGUGAACACGAAAUAGGAGCCCUGGCAAGACAGUGGAGCGAGGAGCCCAGAGUGGGACUUGAGCUUGGUUGGGGGGACGUAUGCUUGGCCACCCUGGCAAGUUUCUUUGGGUCCUAUUUCUCUGUUAAUUUAUAUAAUGAACAGUGAGGUGGUUGAGUAUGUGUGUGCAUGUGUGUGUUUGUGUGUUUCUGGAGCAGGGAGUGGGAGAGGGAUGGGAAGGCUGAGCCACUGGGGUACAGAGGUGUGGGGACACCACCUUUUCCAAUGGGCUUAAGGAGAAAGAUUGGAGGUCAGUUUAGACAAAUCCUCUGGAAAGCAACUUCCCAGAAAGAAAAAAAAAAUUCUGAAUUCAAUCUUGUGCUAGCCAGUGAAUAGUAAUAAAAAAAGCAAAGGAAGGGGUACCACAAAUACUCAGCACAUAUGCACUGUGUCAUUGCCAGGCACUGCUGGCCUCUUGGAAUUCUGCUCCAAAGCCAGCCAACAGCAUGCAGUCCUUCCCAUAUCUCCUAGGUAACCAGCAAGGGCAUCCUUUUCCUCCUCUCCAUAACCUUCUUUCUAAGGCCUUCUUAUCAUCCACUGCCCCUCUUUUUAUCAUCUGGCCUCGCCGUGAUGGCUGGAACAUUGACCGCAGAGGGCAACUGAGAAAAUCCUUGCAUUUGUCAAGUCAAAGACUGUUGGGAGGUCAGGCCUGCCAUUUCCCUGAAAAGCACUUCAUUUACCAAAUAUUAAUCAGAUUAGAAUGCCCAUCACCCUGGGAAGUUGAUGAAUUAUGGCUGUUAUUUAAAAAAAAAAAAAAUCCACAGUGACAGAGUACUGGGAAAGCUUAGGGAUUUGGCCAGAGUUGUCACAUCAGGGGACAGAGGUUGACGUCCUUGGAUCCUGAGAGUCCGCAGGCCUCUCCUGCUCGUUUAGCGAUUUGCACAACCAUUACUGCUUUUGAGCCCCAGAACGCUUCAUCCUCCCAAAGCAAAACCCUACCCACUAAACAUCUCCCUGUUCUCCCUCCCUCCUGCCCCUGACAGCCUCUACCCUGCUUCCUGGCUCGAUGCGUUUGACCACUCUAGGUGCCUCAUAUAAGUGGAAUCAAUACAGUAUUUGUCUUUUUGAGACUGGCUUCUUUCACUGAGCAUCAGGUACUCAAGAUUCAUCCGUGUUAUAACAUGUGGCAGGAUUUUCUUCCUUUUUAAGGCUGAACGAUAUCUCAUUUUUUGAAUAGACUCCAUUUGGCUCAUCCUUUCUUUUUUAAAUUUCAUUUAUUUUAAUUGGAGGAUAAUUACUUUACAGCAUUUUGAUGGUUUUUGCCAUACAUCAGUAUGAAUCGGCUACAGGCACACUUGUGCCCCGUCCCUCCUGAAACCCCCCUCCCCACCCCAUCCCCCCAGGUUGUCACAGAGCCCCGACCUGCAUCAUCCAUCAAACUCCCAGGGCUCUCCAUUUUACCUAUGGUCAUGUAUAUGCCCCAGUGCUCUUCUCUCAGGUCAUCCCUCCCUCUCCUCUUACUGAGUCCAAAAGUCUGUUCUUUGUGUCUCCUCGCUGCCCUGCACAUCAGUACCCUCUUUCUAGGUUCCAUAUAUAUGCGUUAAUAUAUGAUAUUGGUCUUCCUCUUUCUGCCUUACUUCACUCGAUGGACAUCUGGCCUGGGUUGGUUCCACCUUUUGGCUGCUGUGCAUAUGGGUAUGCAGAUACUGUUUUGCUGUGGAGAUUUUUGUGGAAAUGAUAGAGGCCAAGCAGGGUCCGGCUAGGGCUUGCCAAAGCUAGAGGAGCUGGACACUUGAGUUCUUGCUCCCAGCCUGGCAACUUCACAUCCUUCCACUCCCAGAGGCC